UCCGGUCUCAUAUGAUAGCUUCUUUCACACUGAUUCCAAAAAUAUAUAGUUUCUCUAUACUUUUGUAUGUAGAAUGGGAGAUAAUUGGCCACUUCCGGUUUGUUGAAAGUUAUUUUUAGUCUUCAGUAAUCUGUUCAUGUAUCUAUAUGACAAAUAAUAUGGAUUCUGAGUACUUUUAUGUGAAAAAACUGCAAAAAUAGCUACUUCCGGUUUCCUAAAGGUCACUUCCGGUAGUCAUUUUUCAAGGUCAUUUGUCAC
This 258-nucleotide long non-coding RNA is filed under the name Mytilus galloprovincialis (Mediterranean mussel). Lineage: Eukaryota; Metazoa; Mollusca; Bivalvia; Mytilida; Mytilidae. The record is from RNAcentral.